CCCGGGCAGGUGGAGGUCGUUAGCCGUGGUAGGCAAUCUGCCUAGGAGAGCAAACUCUAUACAAACCCGGGCAGGUGAGGCUCGUUAGCCGUGGUAGGCAAUUCACCUAGGAGAGCAAACUCUAUACAAACCCGGGCAGGUGGAGGUCGUUAGCCGUGGGAGGCAAUUCACCUAGGAGAGCAAACUCUAAACAAACCCGGGCAGGUGGAGGUCGUUAGCCGUGGGAGGCAAUUCACCUAGGAGAGCAAACUCCGAACAAUAAACCCGGGCAGGUGGAGGUCGUUAGCCGUGGUAGGCAAUUCACCUAGGAGAGCAAACUCUAAACAAACCCGGGCAGGUGAGGCUCGUUAGCCGUGGUAGGCAAUUCACCUAGGAGAGCAAACUCUAAACAAACCCGGGCAGGUGAGGCUCGUUAGCCGUGGUAGGCAAUUCACCUAGGAGAGCAAACUCCGAACAACAAACCCGGGCAGGUGGAGCUCGUCAGCCGUGGUAGGCAAUCUGCCUAGGAGAGCAAACUCCGAACAAUAAACCCGGGCAGGUGGAGCUCGUCAGCCGUGGUAGGCAAUCUGCCUAGGAGAGCAAACUCCGAACAAUAAACCCGGGCAGGUGGAGGUCGUCAGCCGUGGUAGGCAAUCUGCCUAGGAGAGCAAACUCUAAAUAAACCCGGGCUUGUGGUGCUCGUUAUACUGUCGUAGACAAUCCACGCGAUGGGAACACCAAAGAAAAGGAAAAUAAAAAAGAACACCAGAAAAAUGGAAAAUACAGAAACGAAACAUCAAGAAAAGAAACAAAAAGAUCAUCCACCUUUAGGCCCUAACAUCGCCAAAAUUAUGGGUGGGUCUCUUCUGGGGAGAAAGCGGCUCACCCAGACCAAAGAACAUCAACAAGGGAUGAUAUAGAAAAGAACACCAAAAAAAUAUGGAAAAAGAACAGAAAAAACAUCGAAAAAGAAAAGCAACAGAAAUAAAUGAGCAACAUCGAGAAAAGAGAAAUACAAAGAAACAUCAUCCACCUUUCGGCCCCACACAACAUCACCAAAAUUAUGGAUGGGUCUCUUCUGGGAGGAAAGCGGCUCAUCCAGACCAAGGAACAUCAACAAAAGGAUGAUGGGAAAAAAAUAACAACAAAAAACAUCAAAAAGAAGUAAAAAGAAAAAGAACAGGAAAACAUCGAAAAAGAAAACAAAUGCAAUAAAAGAAUGAAAAACACGACAUCAAGAAAAUAAAAUAAAACAAACAUCAUCCACCUUUCGGCCCUAACAACAUCUCCAAAAUUAUGGGUGGGUCUCUUCUGGGAGGAAAGCGGCUCACCCAGACCAACGAACAUCAACAAAAGGAUGAUAGGAAAAAAGAA
Eriocheir sinensis (Chinese mitten crab) is the source of this 1353-nucleotide long non-coding RNA. RefSeq lists it as uncharacterized. Lineage: Eukaryota; Metazoa; Arthropoda; Malacostraca; Decapoda; Varunidae. The transcript is spliced from 6 exons. The record is from RefSeq and is a predicted model, not a curated record.